Non-coding RNA from Salmo salar (Atlantic salmon), 264 nucleotides. The record is from RefSeq and is a predicted model, not a curated record. Lineage: Eukaryota; Metazoa; Chordata; Actinopteri; Salmoniformes; Salmonidae.
CCCUCAGCAGCCUCCACUGAUUGAUACUUGUGAUUUUUCUGUGCAGUUUAGCUAAAAAUAAAACUUUUUUUGUGUGUCUCUUUGCUUUUGUGUUCAUGCAGGUCUUUGCCACUGGUUAUGGGUGACAGAGGACACCAGCAACAGCAAAGACACUUGUUCACCAUGAGCUGUCCGUUUCCAAUGGAUUGUGCCGCGGCUGCUGUUUCAAGUUUCAGCACCACAAUCAUUGUCCCAGCCAUAUCCGCAGCAGCAGGAAGAAUUAAG